CAUCAACAGGCAGAGUCAUAUUUAGGGGAGUCUGAGUAGGUGUUCUUCUCUGCAUCACCAUGAGCCUUAGUUUGGAAAUUCGUUAUUCCAAACCAGCAAUGACCUCUGGGGUUAUUUCUCUUCCUAUAGAGGAACUAGGGUCUAUUUCCAUAGAAAAGGUGGUAACUAAUUUUAGAUUAAGGUAUUGUGUUGAUCAAACUAGGAUCCAUAGUCAAUCGAGGUUUUCU
RNAcentral lists this long non-coding RNA (227 nucleotides) under Capsicum annuum. RNAcentral describes it as "long non-coding RNA (CANN_LNC011418)". Lineage: Eukaryota; Viridiplantae; Streptophyta; Magnoliopsida; Solanales; Solanaceae. The record is from RNAcentral.